GGAAAAAGAAGAGUGGCGAACGGGUGAGUAACACGUGGGUAACCUGCCCAUCAGAAGGGGAUAACACUUGGAAACAGGUGCUAAUACCGUAUAACAAUCGAAACCGCAUGGUUUUGAUUUGAAAGGCGCUUUCGGGUGUCGCUGAUGGAUGGACCCGCGGUGCAUUAGCUAGUUGGUGAGGUAACGGCUCACCAAGGCCACGAUGCAUAGCCGACCUGAGAGGGUGAUCGGCCACAUUGGGACUGAGACACGGCCCAAACUCCUACGGGAGGCAGCAGUAGGGAAUCUUCGGCAAUGGACGAAAGUCUGACCGAGCAACGCCGCGUGAGUGAAGAAGGUUUUCGGAUCGUAAAACUCUGUUGUUAGAGAAGAACAAGGAUGAGAGUAACUGUUCAUCCCUUGACGGUAUCUAACCAGAAAGCCACGGCUAACUACGUGCCAGCAGCCGCGGUAAUACGUAGGUGGCAAGCGUUGUCCGGAUUUAUUGGGCGUAAAGCGAGCGCAGGCGGUUUCUUAAGUCUGAUGUGAAAGCCCCCGGCUCAACCGGGGAGGGUCAUUGGAAACUGGGAGACUUGAGUGCAGAAGAGGAGAGUGGAAUUCCAUGUGUAGCGGUGAAAUGCGUAGAUAUAUGGAGGAACACCAGUGGCGAAGGCGGCUCUCUGGUCUGUAACUGACGCUGAGGCUCGAAAGCGUGGGGAGCAAACAGGAUUAGAUACCCUGGUAGUCCACGCCGUAAACGAUGAGUGCUAAGUGUUGGAGGGUUUCCGCCCUUCAGUGCUGCAGCUAACGCAUUAAGCACUCCGCCUGGGGAGUACGACCGCAAGGUUGAAACUCAAAGGAAUUGACGGGGGCCCGCACAAGCGGUGGAGCAUGUGGUUUAAUUCGAAGCAACGCGAAGAACCUUACCAGGUCUUGACAUCCUUUGACCACUCUAGAGAUAGAGCUUCCCCUUCGGGGGCAAAGUGACAGGUGGUGCAUGGUUGUCGUCAGCUCGUGUCGUGAGAUGUUGGGUUAAGUCCCGCAACGAGCGCAACCCUUAUUGUUAGUUGCCAUCAUUCAGUUGGGCACUCUAGCAAGACUGCCGGUGACAAACCGGAGGAAGGUGGGGAUGACGUCAAAUCAUCAUGCCCCUUAUGACCUGGGCUACACACGUGCUACAAUGGGAAGUACAACGAGUUGCGAAGUCGCGAGGCUAAGCUAAUCUCUUAAAGCUUCUCUCAGUUCGGAUUGCAGGCUGCAACUCGCCUGCAUGAAGCCGGAAUCG
This 1264-nucleotide ribosomal RNA is filed under the name Enterococcus faecium. Its description in RNAcentral is "bacterial SSU rRNA". It matches the Rfam family "Bacterial small subunit ribosomal RNA", at positions 83 to 1334 of the family's 1533-position model. The record is from RNAcentral. Lineage: Bacteria; Bacillati; Bacillota; Bacilli; Lactobacillales; Enterococcaceae.